GGAAUCUUCCACAAUGGGCGCAAGCCUGAUGGAGCAACACCGCGUGAGUGAAGAAGGGUUUCGGCGCGUAAAGCUCUGUUGUUAGAGAAGAACGUGCGUGAGAGCAACUGUUCACGCAGUGACGGUAUCUAACCAGAAAGUCACGGCUAACUACGUGCCAGCAGCCGCGGUAAUACGGAGGGUGCAAGCGUUAAUCGGAAUUACUGGGCGUAAAGCGCACGCAGGCGGUCUGUAAAGUCGGAUGUGAAAUCCCCGGGCUCAACCUGGGAACUGCAUUCGAAACUGGCAGGCUAGAGUCUUGUAGAGGGGGGUAGAAUUCCAGGUGUAGCGGUGAAAUGCGUAGAGAUCUGGAGGAAUACCGGUGGCGAAGGCGGCCCCCUGGACAAAGACUGACGCUCAGGUGCGAAAGCGUGGGGAGCAAACA
This 424-nucleotide ribosomal RNA is filed under the name uncultured bacterium. RNAcentral's name for it is "bacterial SSU rRNA". It matches the Rfam family "Bacterial small subunit ribosomal RNA", at positions 358 to 774 of the family's 1533-position model. The record is from RNAcentral.